RNAcentral lists this small RNA (66 nucleotides) under Staphylococcus aureus. Its description in RNAcentral is "HMPRFS0000_1386". The record is from RNAcentral. Lineage: Bacteria; Bacillati; Bacillota; Bacilli; Caryophanales; Staphylococcaceae.
GAUUUAUUGGCAAAGUUUCUCCAAUAGGCUUUUGCGUGGCAUCUACAAUCAUCUUUUUUCUUAUCU